RNAcentral lists this ribosomal RNA (205 nucleotides) under uncultured Streptococcus sp. RNAcentral describes it as "partial 16S ribosomal RNA". It matches the Rfam family "Bacterial small subunit ribosomal RNA", at positions 326 to 524 of the family's 1533-position model. Lineage: Bacteria; Bacillati; Bacillota; Bacilli; Lactobacillales; Streptococcaceae. The record is from RNAcentral.
ACGGGGGGACUCCUACGGAGGCAGCAGUAGGGAAUCUUCGGCAAUGGACGAAAGUCUGACCGAGCAACGCCGCGUGAGUGAAGAAGGUUUUCGGAUCGUAAAACUCUGUUGUUAGAGAAGAACGUUGUGUAGAGUGGAAAAUUACACAAGUGACGGUAUCUAACCAGAAAGGGACGGCUAACUACGUGCCAGCAGCCGCGGUAAU